GUCUCUGUGGCGCAAUCAGUCAGCGCACUUGGCUGUUAACCAAGAGAAUGGUGGUUCAAGCCCACCCAGGGACA
Labrus bergylta (ballan wrasse) is the source of this 74-nucleotide non-coding RNA. The record is from the annotation of a RefSeq genome assembly. NCBI's taxonomy places the organism in Eukaryota, Metazoa, Chordata, Actinopteri, Labriformes, Labridae.